This 274-nucleotide ribosomal RNA is filed under the name uncultured bacterium. RNAcentral's name for it is "partial 16S ribosomal RNA". It matches the Rfam family "Bacterial small subunit ribosomal RNA", at positions 523 to 796 of the family's 1533-position model. The record is from RNAcentral.
AUACGGAGGGGGCUAGCGUUGUUCGGAAUUACUGGGCGUAAAGCGUCCGCAGGCGGAUAAUUAAGUUAGAGGUGAAAUCCCAGGGCUCAACCCUGGAACUGCCUUUAAAACUGGUUAUCUAGAGUUAUGGAGAGGUAAGUGGAAUUCCUAGUGUAGAGGUGAAAUUCGUAGAUAUUAGGAGGAACACCAGAGGCGAAGGCGGCUUACUGGACAUAUACUGACGCUGAGGGACGAAAGUGUGGGGAGCGAACGGGAGUAGAAACCCUUGUAGUCC